GAACGCGAAGAACCUUACCAGGUCUUGACAUCCCUCUGACCGCUCUAGAGAUAGAGUUUUCCUUCGGGACAGAGGUGACAGGUGGUGCAUGGUUGUCGUCAGCUCGUGUCGUGAGAUGUUGGGUUAAGUCCCGCAACGAGCGCAACCCCUAUUGUUAGUUGCCAUCAUUUAGUUGGGCACACUAGCGAGACUGCCGGUAAUAAACCGGAGGAAGGUGGGGAUGACGUCAAAUCAUCAUGCCCCUUAUGACCUGGGCUACACACGUGCUACAAUGGCUGGUACAACGAGUCGCAAGCCGGUGACGGCAAGCUAAUCUCUUAAAGCCAGUCUCAGUUCGGAUUGUAGGCUGCAACUCGCCUACAUGAAGUCGGAAUCGCUAGUAAUCGCGGAUCAGCACGCCGCGGUGAAUACGUUCCCGGGUCUUGUACACACC
Molecule: ribosomal RNA, 433 nt
Filed under: uncultured bacterium
Lineage: Bacteria
Description: bacterial SSU rRNA
Rfam family: Bacterial small subunit ribosomal RNA
Source: RNAcentral